CCUACGGGAGGCAGCAGUGGGGAAUAUUGGACAAUGGGGGGAACCCUGAUCCAGCCAUGCCGCGUGUGUGAAGAAGGCCCUCGGGUUGUAAAGCACUUUCAGUGAGGAAGAACGCCUGGUGGUUAAUACCCAUCAGGAAAGACAUCACUCACAGAAGAAGCACCGGCUAACUCCGUGCCAGCAGCCGCGGUAAUACGGAGGGUGCGAGCGUUAAUCGGAAUUACUGGGCGUAAAGCGCGCGUAGGUGGCUUGAUAAGCCGGUUGUGAAAGCCCCGGGCUCAACCUGGGAACGGCAUCCGGAACUGUCAAGCUAGGGUGCAGGAGAGGAAGGUAGAAUUCCCGGUGUAGCGGUGAAAUGCGUAGAGAUCGGGAGGAAUACCAGUGGCGAAGGCGGCCUUCUGGACUGACACUGACACUGAGGUGCGAAAGCGUGGGUAGCAAACAGGAUUAGAUACCCUGGUAGUA
This 465-nucleotide ribosomal RNA is filed under the name Vreelandella stevensii. RNAcentral's name for it is "partial 16S ribosomal RNA". It matches the Rfam family "Bacterial small subunit ribosomal RNA", at positions 338 to 795 of the family's 1533-position model. The record is from RNAcentral. Lineage: Bacteria; Pseudomonadati; Pseudomonadota; Gammaproteobacteria; Oceanospirillales; Halomonadaceae.